RNAcentral lists this ribosomal RNA (735 nucleotides) under uncultured marine bacterium. RNAcentral describes it as "bacterial SSU rRNA". It matches the Rfam family "Bacterial small subunit ribosomal RNA", at positions 97 to 869 of the family's 1533-position model. The record is from RNAcentral.
GGCAGACGGGUGAGUAACAUGUAGGUAUCUGCCCUUUGGCCUGGAAUAACACGAGGAAACUUGUGCUAAUACCGGAUAAGUCUUUACGGAGAAAGCUUUAUGCACCAUUGGAUGAGCCUGCACUUGAUUAGUUUGUUGGUGGGGUAAUGGCCUACCAAGACUUUGAUCAAUAGCUGAUUUGAGAGGAUGAUCAGCCACAUUGGGACUGAGACACGGCCCAAACUCCUACGGGAGGCAGCAGUGGGGAAUCUUGCACAAUGGAGGAAACUCUGAUGCAGCGAUGCCGCGUGAGUGAAGAAGGCCUUUGGGUUGUAAAGCUCUUUCGUCGGGGAAGAAAAUGACUGUACCCGAAUAAGAAGGUCCGGCUAACUUCGUGCCAGCAGCCGCGGUAAUACGAAGGGACCUAGCGUAGUUCGGAAUUACUGGGCUUAAAGAGUUCGUAGGUGGUUGAAAAAGUUGGUGGUGAAAUCCCAGAACUUAACUCUGGAACUGCCAUCAAAACUUUUCAGCUAGAGUUUGAUAGAGGAAAGCAGAAUUUCUAGUGUAGAGGUGAAAUUCGUAGAUAUUAGAAAGAAUACCAAUUGCGAAGGCAGCUUUCUGGAUCAUUACUGACACUGAGGAACGAAAGCAUGGGUAGCGAAGAGGAUUAGAUACCCUCGUAGUCCAUGCCGUAAACGAUGUGUGUUAGACGUUGGGAAUUUAUUCUCAGUGUCGCAGCGAAAGCGAUAAACACAC